GAUGAACGCUGGCGGCGUGCCUAAUACAUGCAAGUCGAGCGAACGGACGAGAAGCUUGCUUCUCUGAUGUUAGCGGCGGACGGGUGAGUAACACGUGGAUAACCUACCUAUAAGACUGGGAUAACUUCGGGAAACCGGAGCUAAUACCGGAUCAUAUUUUGAACCGCAUGGUUCAAAAGUGAAAGACGGUCUUGCUGUCACUUAUAGAUGGUUCCGCGCUGCAUUAGCUAGUUGGUAAGGUAACGGCUUACCAAGGCAACGAUGCAUAGCCGACCUGAGAGGGUGAUCGGCCACACUGGAACUGAGACACGGUCCAGACUCCUACGGGAGGCAGCAGUAGGGAAUCUUCCGCAAUGGGCGAAAGCCUGACGGAGCAACGCCGCGUGAGUGAUGAAGGUCUUCGGAUCGUAAAACUCUGUUAUUAGGGAAGAACAUAUGUGUAAGUAACUGUGCACAUCUUGACGGUACCUAAUCAGAAAGCCACGGCUAACUACGUG
RNAcentral lists this ribosomal RNA (497 nucleotides) under uncultured bacterium. Its description in RNAcentral is "partial 16S ribosomal RNA". It matches the Rfam family "Bacterial small subunit ribosomal RNA", at positions 28 to 507 of the family's 1533-position model. The record is from RNAcentral.